UACGUAGGGUGCAAGCGUUAAUCGGAAUUACUGGGCGUAAAGCGUGCGCAGGCGGUUCGCUAAGACCGAUGUGAAAUCCCCGGGCUUAACCUGGGAACUGCAUUGGUGACUGGCGGGCUAGAGUAUGGCAGAGGGGGGUAGAAUUCCACGUGUAGCAGUGAAAUGCGUAGAGAUGUGGAGGAACACCAGUGGCGAAGGCAGCCUUCUGGGCCAACACUGACGCUCAUGCACGAAAGCGUGGGGAGCAAACAGG
This 253-nucleotide ribosomal RNA is filed under the name uncultured bacterium. RNAcentral's name for it is "partial 16S ribosomal RNA". It matches the Rfam family "Bacterial small subunit ribosomal RNA", at positions 524 to 776 of the family's 1533-position model. The record is from RNAcentral.